UACGUAGGGGGCAAGCGUUGUCCGGAAUUAUUGGGCGUAAAGAGCUCGUAGGCGGUUUGUCGCGUCUGCCGUGAAAACCCGAGGCUUAACCUCGUGGCUUGCGGUGGAUACGGGCAGACUAGAGGUAGGUAGGGGAGAAUGGAAUUCCCGGUGUAGCGGUGAAAUGCGCAGAUAUCGGGAGGAACACCGGUGGCGAAGGCGGUUCUCUGGGCCUUACCUGACGCUGAGGAGCGAAAGCGUGAGGAGCGAACAGG
Molecule: ribosomal RNA, 254 nt
Filed under: uncultured bacterium
Lineage: Bacteria
Description: partial 16S ribosomal RNA
Rfam family: Bacterial small subunit ribosomal RNA
Source: RNAcentral